GGGGGGGGGGGGGGGGGGGGGGGGGGGGGGGGGGGGGGGGGGGGGGGGGGGGAGGGGGUGCGGGGGGGGGUGGCGGGGGGCGGGGGGGUGGGGGGUGCAUCGGAGUCGAGUUUUGCGGGGGGGGUGGCGGGGGGGCGCGUACGCUACUGCCGCAUACGGCCUACGGGUGGGAGCAGGGGAUCGUGGGGGCUUGGGCGGCUCGAAGAGCCGGUGUCGGAUUGGCUAGUUGGCGGGGUAAGGGCCCACCAAGGCGACGAUCCGUAGCUGGUCGGAGAGGAUGAUCAGCCACACUGGAACUGAGACACGGUCCAGACUCCUACGGGAGGCAGCAGUGGGGAAUAUUGGCCAAUGGGCGCAAGCCUGAUCCAGCCAUGCCGCGUGGGUGAAGAAGGCCUUCGGGUUGUAAAGCCCUUUUGUUGGGAAAGAAAAGCAGCAGGUUAAACCCCCGCUGUUCUGACGGUACCCAAAGAAUAAGCACCGGCUAACUUCGUG
This 492-nucleotide ribosomal RNA is filed under the name uncultured bacterium. Its description in RNAcentral is "partial 16S ribosomal RNA". The stretch from base 125 to 492 matches the Rfam family "Bacterial small subunit ribosomal RNA", at positions 37 to 507 of the family's 1533-position model. The record is from RNAcentral.